GAGAAGAUGCUUGUUUACUUCAUCUCUUGCAAAGGUUCUUGGUGUGGAAUCAGAGUGAUACUCUACCUACCCACCUCCACUUCAUCUGACAUGAAGUAUCUAACACAGCUCUGAACUCAGGAAGUAUUACCUGGUUCUAUAUGCAACUGAGAUAAAGUGGAAUUAAUUUCCAAGGCCAUACCAAAGAAUCUUUUACAGGGUAGGUUGCAGAUUUGCUCCAGGGCCUUUGUUAUGAGUUUAUUACUACCAAAUUUCUAAGAAUCUGUUAAAUUAGUAGCAUUACAAAAUUUCUGCUUGAUCUUUUUAACUUCUUCUUUAUGGGCAGAAAAUCUGAAUCAAAGUCACACUGUCUCCUCCUGUUUGUCAAGUCUGCAAGUACUAAUUUAAGUGAUAACUACAAGAGCUGAAGUAGUUGCCUGUGAGACAGCGACUUUGAAAUUUCACAACAGUACUGUUUCAAAUGUCACACUUGUUAACUGUUGAAGUAAAGAUUUCUAACUUCUUCAUCUAUGGUAGAAAAACCCUGUGAUUUUGCAAUCCGGUAUCUUUUGCAUUAACACUGAUGUGGUACGACAAGUUUCCUGAGGCUUAUAGACUCCGGCACUUGUCUGGAUUUAAAAAAGGAGUAACCCCCUAACCCAUCCUUGACAAGACAGUUUGUAAUUCUUUCAGGAUUACAGGAAGACUGCUUGUUCUAAACGGAGAUUUCAGGUGAUACUGUGAAAGGAUUCAGAAUGGCCACUAACACUGUAUUUAGAGAGAGAACUGGGAUUUUCUUCGACAAUAGUUUUGCAUGGUCUCUUCAUCUUCCUGAUAUAUGGGGUGUACAACACAGAGGUAAGUCUGCUUGGAGUAUCUCAAGGCUGACAGAGUGAAUGAGAGAAAUGACAGGUUUCUUAUCUUGAUAACUGAGGGACAAAG
Long non-coding RNA from Pezoporus occidentalis (night parrot), 921 nucleotides. RefSeq lists it as uncharacterized. The record is from RefSeq and is a predicted model, not a curated record. The transcript has 3 exons. Lineage: Eukaryota; Metazoa; Chordata; Aves; Psittaciformes; Psittacidae.